This is a non-coding RNA of Lupinus albus (white lupine), 271 nucleotides long. NCBI's taxonomy places the organism in Eukaryota, Viridiplantae, Streptophyta, Magnoliopsida, Fabales, Fabaceae. The record is from the annotation of a GenBank genome assembly.
CGUCUAUCAUCGGUAUAAAUAACCCCUCGCUAUCGUAAUCUUAACGUCGUUCGUGAGAUUUGGGUUUAUCGUAGAGUUUCGCUUCGUUUCGUGCUUUCUCUGGGAUCGAUGAAAGAGCGAGAGUUGAUAUUCUCAUCGUGCGGUCUCUAAUUCGCUUGGUGCAGGUCGGGAACCGACGCUGCUGUUACUGCCGUUUAAUGAAUGGGGCGGUGGUUGCCGGUGGCGAAUUGGUUCCCGCCUUGCAUCAACUGAAUCGGAGGCUGCCGUUGUU